RNAcentral lists this ribosomal RNA (427 nucleotides) under uncultured archaeon. RNAcentral describes it as "bacterial SSU rRNA". It matches the Rfam family "Archaeal small subunit ribosomal RNA", at positions 474 to 903 of the family's 1478-position model. The record is from RNAcentral.
UACCAGCUCUCCGAGUGGUAGGGAUGAUUAUUGGGCUUAAAGCGUCCGUAGCCGGCUUAGCAAGUCUCCUGUUAAAUUCAGCGACCUAAUCGUUGAGCCGCGGGAGAGACUACUAGGCUAGGAGGCGGGAGAGGCCGACGGUAUUCUCGGGGUAGGGGUGAAAUCCUAUAAUCCCGGGAGGACCACCAGUGGCGAAGGCUGUCGCUAGAACGCGCUCGACGGUGAGGGACGAAAGCUGGGGGAGCGAACCGGAUUAGAUACCCGGGUAGUCCCAGCUGUAAACGAUGCGGGCUAGGUGUUGGGGUGGCUACGAGCCACUUCAGUGCCGCAGGGAAGCCAUUAAGCCCGCCGCCUGGGGAGUACGGCCGCAAGGCUGAAACUUAAAGGAAUUGGCGGGGAGCACCACAAGGCGUGAAGCUUGCGGUUC